UACGUAGGGUGCAAGCGUUAAUCGGAAUUACUGGGCGUAAGGCGUGCGCAGGCGGUUGUGCAAGACCGAUGUGAAAUCCCCGGGCUUAACCUGGGAAUGGCAUUGGUGACUGCACGGCUAGAGUGUGUCAGAGGGGGGUAGAAUUCCACGUGUAGCAGUGAAAUGCGUAGAUAUCUGGAGGAACACCGGUGGCGAAGGCGGCAUCCUGGACCAACACUGACACUGAGGAGCGAAAGCCAGGGGAGCAAACGGG
Molecule: ribosomal RNA, 253 nt
Filed under: uncultured bacterium
Lineage: Bacteria
Description: partial 16S ribosomal RNA
Rfam family: Bacterial small subunit ribosomal RNA
Source: RNAcentral